UUUUAAGAAUACUAAUGUCUGGAUCUCAGAGCCGAAUGAAUCACUCAAGUUUAGCCUUUCACAGGGAUUAGUCAUUGCGCUGUGGAUCCCCACUGUUCUCCACAAGAACUACAUAAUAUUCGAAGGAACAGCUCGGCUCAGCUUGCUGUUGUGCUCUGGCUCUGCCUGUAGGAAGCCAGUGUGGACGCAGGUGUGUUGUAGUAGGCGUUAGCAAGGACACGGGUUGUGACGCGGCAGAACCUCCCCUGCUCUGUGAUGUAAAUUGGACGCACGCUUUUGGCGAACGCUUAAGGGGUGUAGACGAAGCAGUCAGCCUACUUAAGGAGCUAUUGUGCUGCAACAAACGCCCUUUGCUGCAUACCCGUGUUGUUGUCAGUGUCGCUAUGGUCCUAGCGAGGGUAGUUCACUAGCCCCCGGCAGAAUGCGCCUCAGACACGGGAGCUACAGCUACUACACAGUUAAAACCAAGCUGAAACUGCCUUUCAAGAAUAAGUUUUAGUGGAAGAAUCAAAAUUGAGCCUGCCAAUGUAGGAAAAUCCAAUUGUGUUAUGAAAUACUUCUACUUCAUGGGAACAGUGCGCUAGGAUACGUCAUCUACAGAACAUGGAAGUGCAAGCAAGGAGCAGCAUACUUGGAUUUGAUUCUGCAUCAGUCUGUUCUCACUGAAAUUGCUUUUUCCUUCACCGCACUUGUUGUCGGAGGUCCUGCAAAACUCUGCGAGCUGAAAAGUUGUGGUCACUCAGGGUUGCUCAUCCUAUUUGCUGAACAACACGUCAACAACAGAGCUGGGAGCAGAGGAGCUGUGUGUUCCUCAGGCAAAUAG
Molecule: long non-coding RNA, 823 nt
Filed under: Coturnix japonica (Japanese quail)
Lineage: Eukaryota; Metazoa; Chordata; Aves; Galliformes; Phasianidae
Description: lncRNA (ENSCJPG00005020951.1)
Source: RNAcentral